Molecule: long non-coding RNA, 2470 nt
Filed under: Medicago truncatula (barrel medic)
Lineage: Eukaryota; Viridiplantae; Streptophyta; Magnoliopsida; Fabales; Fabaceae
Description: long non-coding RNA (MTRU_LNC004129)
Source: RNAcentral
AACAAACUCUUUCACUCCUUCUAUGUACUCCUUUGACGCUCGAUUCGCAGACACCCAUUUCCGAUCCAUAGUUCCUAGAUCUUGAUAGUUAGCUGUCGGGAAUAGUUAGUUUGAGUUUAUUGGUAACAAAUAUUACUAGUUAAAAUUUGGUUCUAACAACCGAGUUAUGAAUCGUAUGCUUAAGGAUUCACUGCCCAACAACUAAGGACUCCAACAGAUAACUACUCCAAAUUGUUUUUUUUAAACAGGAACUACUCCAAAUUGUUAAAUUAGAGAACUACCAAUAAUCCCAUAAACUUUGGGUCGACCCAUAGUUUAUUCUUAGUUUGUACCAACAUUUAAAUAGUUGCUUUUAAUCAUCAAGAAUUCCUACCACUAUUAUCCACCUCAUCAUAUUAAUUUUCAUUAUCUUUUGCAAUAACUAACUUUUGACCAUGACUUUAAGUACAGAAAAAGAAGUCAAUACCUUGAUCCGUAUGUUUGAUUCUUCUCACACCAGUAGCAGUUGGCACCACGCUGAUCAUAUAAGUGAAAAAAAGUUAGUCCUAUCAUUAACUAGUAACGACUUUGAAACUACUCUAAAAUCCAGUCAUAACAACGCUAUCUAUCUAUGCAUACAAUCCUUAUUGUUUAACCUUAAAACACUCUAAAAUCCAGUCAUAACAAAUUUGAAACUAGGACUUUUUUCCAAGUCCAAGUUUGGUAAAUUGAAAACACACUCCAAUUAUAAAUCAUCAAACUAAUUAGUAUAGUAUAAUAAUGCACAUUAACUUGGUAUAGUAUAAUAAUGAUGACAGAAAACCAACUUUAGACAAAAUAAAAGUACACUAGCUUACUGUAAAAAAUCAUCUAAUUAGUUGACACCUUAAACAUAAUUCACCAAUAGGAAAAUUCAAACAUAUACUAAUAUAAAUGUUCAAAUGUCAUAUUUUACUCAGCAUCACAUUAUAAUCAUCUUACCUUUUCAAAAAUCAUUUGCUCUGGUUUUUAACUAGAGUUAAAAAAAAAAAAAAAAUCCUGAGAAUUGCAAACAUAUUUUGUCCGCUAAGAACAUGCACUAAUGUAAUGUUACCAUUUCUAUGUAAAACAUUUUUAAUAUAAAAGAUGUCAGUAACAUAAUGCGCAAGGUAUGGUCACGAUCAACAACAAACAACUCAAUUGUUUCCAAGCAAUCACUCUCACAAAUAAUAUAGCUAUAGCCUUUGGUGCAACAAGAUUCAAAAACUCAUGAAACAUACAUAAUGCGCAAGGUAUGGUCACGAUCAACAACAAACAACUCAAUUGCUUCAAAGCAAUCGCUCUUACAAUUAAUGUAGCUAUAGCCUUUGGUGCAACAAGAAUAAAAAAUAAGUAUUCCUUAUUUAGUGAUCAUGCCCAACAAGAAUAAAAAAGAAGAAUAAAAAAGAAUGGCAAUAAGUAGUACCUGAUUCAAGAAUAAAGAAGAAGAAUAAAUUGAAAUAUUUGUUUAAGAGCUAAUUCCUGAUUCAGUGAUCAUGCCCAACAAGUAUUCCUGAUAUAUAAGCAUACAGCUAAAUGGUUGGUUAAGGAUGGCAAUAGGUAGUGUCGGUCCUCGUACAUGCUAACCGCACGACAACAAAGAAAUUCCAUAAGUAAUUAAAUAUAAACAUCGAGUCUAUAAAUUAAAUUUGUUCUUGUGUUCAAAUCUUUAAAUCGAAUCCAUAACACGGUAAUUCCCUAUGGACUUACAAAGUUCCCACUACAUUUUAAAUUCAAAAAACCACACAGAAAAAGCUUCAAUAACUUCAAAUCUCGUUCUGCACAGACCGGAGUAGCGCCACCGGAGAUGGACGACGAAACAAUCUCCCGCAUUAUAACAGAAAUCUCCGACCUACGCGAAACCCACCACACUGAAAAUCCACAACCACUCUCCGAAAAAUCCCUCUCUUCUCUCCAAACCCUCCUAAACCAUUCCCAACCUUUAGACCCACUCUACGACGCCGUUUCACCUUCCCACCUAAUUCCCCCAAUCGACACCGCAAUGGAUUCAUCUCCACCACCUCACUCUCUCCUUGCUUCUCACGUCUUCCUCUCCUUCCUCCCCAAACGACCCCGUUUUCACUCUCUUCACUACUCUCUCCUUUCUCUCAUUCCUUCGCUCCCUCCGUCGUGAUUUCAAAAACACGGAGCUAAAUCAUGUGGUUUAGAAUUCAAUUUCUAGGUUAUCUAAUUCAACCAUAAUAAAGAGAGAGAAUGGAAAUGUAAAAGAAGGGAAUGAAGAUCUAACCAGAGAAGAAUGAGAGAAACGAUUUCACCACCACGAUUCAGACUUCGAUUCCAACUUCUUCCUUUGAUUUCGAUUAUGACUUUGAUUUUGAUUUCAGUUUUGGACUUCAGUUUUUGAGUUGAAGGACGGUGAAGCUCUUUCGAGAAUGAAGGAAGGACGGUGGUUGGAGUGGAGAGAGAGUGGGGUUUAGUUUUGGACGGUGCAGCUCUUUCUUUUUGGAGAGAG